This 293-nucleotide ribosomal RNA is filed under the name uncultured bacterium. RNAcentral's name for it is "partial 16S ribosomal RNA". It matches the Rfam family "Bacterial small subunit ribosomal RNA", at positions 775 to 1067 of the family's 1533-position model. The record is from RNAcentral.
GGAUUAGAUACCCUGGUAGUCCACGCCGUAAACGAUGUCUACUUGGAGGUUGUUCCCUUGAGGAGUGGCUUUCGGAGCUAACGCGUUAAGUAGACCGCCUGGGGAGUACGGUCGCAAGGUUAAAACUCAAAUGAAUUGACGGGGGCCCGCACAAGCGGUGGAGCAUGUGGUUUAAUUCGAUGCAACGCGAAGAACCUUACCAUCCCUUGACAUCCAGAGAACUUACUAGAGAUAGUUUGGUGCCUUCGGGAACUCUGAGACAGGUGCUGCAUGGCUGUCGUCAGCUCGUGUCG